UUUUUUUUUUCUUUUUUUUUUUUUGAGACAGAGUCUUACUCUGUCUCGCCCAGGCUGGAGUGCAGUGGCAGGAUCUCAGCUCGCUACAGCCUACACCUCCCAGGUUCAAGUGAUUCUCCUGUCUCAGUCUUCCAAGUAGCUGGGACUACAGGGGUGUGCCAUCACACCCGGCUAAUUUUGUAUUUUUAGUAGAGACGAGGUUUCACCAUGUUGGCCAGGCUGGUUUGGAACUCUCAAACUCCUGACCUCAGGUGAUCCACCCAGCUUGCCUUCCCAAAGUGCUGGGAUUACAGCAUGAGCCGCCAUGCCUGGCCUAAUUCACCUAUUUGAUCCACCCAGCUCGGCCUCUCAAAGUGCUGCGAUUACAGGUGUGAGCCACCGUGCCUGGCCUAAUUCCACUGUUUCUAAUAUUCAUCAUGCUAUUUAACAAAUCACUAGCUUCACCAAUACAAAACACAUUUUUACAUUCAAAAUACCAGCUAGCAUGAUGUUAUAGAGGUAUUGACAGUAGAAGAAUUUAUUAGCAGUAAUCUCUGUGUAUGGUCCCUUUCUGAUGUAAUGCUGGCUUGACUUCCUUUCCCACGUGCUGGAACAGGACUGUGUCAUUGACCCACCUUCAACAUGUGGAGCUGGUGAAGCAACAAUAUGGAAGGAAGGUGGGUCCCUGAGUGACUAGUGGUGCAAAGUUGCAUGCCAGUUUAGUGGCUAGACUGUUACAUGUCAGAGAAAAAUAAACCUCUAUCUUAUUUAAGCUACUAUAUUUUAGGGUCUUGUUUGUUUGUUUGUUUUGAGAUGGAGUCUCAUACUGUCACCCAGGCUGGAGUGCAGUGGCUCAAUCUCAGGUCACUGCAACCUCCACCUCCUUGGUUCAAGUGAUUCUCCCGCCUCAGCCUCCUGAGUAGCUGGGACUACAGGUGCGCACAACCAUGCCUAAGUAAUUUUUUGUAUUUUUAGUAGAGAUGGGGGUGUCAUCAUGUUGGCCAGGCUGGUCUUGAACUCCUGACCUCAAGUGACCCACCCACCUCGACUUCCCAAAGAGCUGGGAUUAUAGGUGUGAGCCACUGCAUCCAGCUAGGAUCCUUUUUUUAAAAAUGACAUCUUAGCCUUUACUCAACAAACCUUUACUCUGCAUCUUGAUCCCAUCAUCUUUCAUUUCCUCUACUGUGUGUUCAACACUGCCCUCUGUACUGGCUCCUUCUCUGCCAUUCAUGAGCAUGAUCAAGUCUUUUCUGUGUUGCAUGCUUUGCCACAUUUUCCCCUCUCC
RNAcentral lists this long non-coding RNA (1264 nucleotides) under Macaca fascicularis (crab-eating macaque). RNAcentral describes it as "lncRNA (ENSMFAG00000057285.1)". The record is from RNAcentral. Lineage: Eukaryota; Metazoa; Chordata; Mammalia; Primates; Cercopithecidae.